UAAUUAAAAUAAUUUAAUUGGUUCACUUCAGCUAAUAAUUUUUCUCUUCCGGUUAAAUAUAAAAAUAUUUUAAAUAUUGCUCUCUAACAGCUUAAACAACAGCUUAAGUUUUUAGAAUACAAUAGUUAUUUUACAUGAUAUCAAAAUAGGAGAUUCUGAAUUCAAGUCAAAUUAGGCUUCCAGCAUAAUAAUUUUCUUUCAUUUAAUUCAAACGCAUGUCAUGAGCCGACGAUCCAGACGUAAUAGCUUACUCUUUUAGAGUGCAACGGUAGCUUUGAGCUUGAACGGAAGAAAAAGAAACACUUGUCAUAGUCAAAAUGUAUCCCGACAUAACAAUUAGGGACGCGAUUCUCAUUUGGUCCAACCUGUCCUCCGCCAUAGGACAUGACAUUGAACUCAUUUCAGCCGACAAUUUCUUCGUGAUUUACACUUUUCUAUCAAUUACGUAUCACAAUGUAAACUAAUUUGUAAAGCACUGUAAAAUUUGUUUAUGAGCAUAACAUUAU
This 506-nucleotide long non-coding RNA is filed under the name Ananas comosus (pineapple). Its description in RNAcentral is "long non-coding RNA (ACOM_LNC033795)". The record is from RNAcentral. Lineage: Eukaryota; Viridiplantae; Streptophyta; Magnoliopsida; Poales; Bromeliaceae.